UCCUUGAUGGUCCAGUGACUAAGACUCUGCACUUCUAAGGCAGGGGCUUGGGUUCGAUCUCUGGUCAGGGAA
This 72-nucleotide transfer RNA is filed under the name Bos taurus (domestic cattle). It matches the Rfam family "tRNA". Rfam says of the family: Transfer RNA (tRNA) molecules are approximately 80 nucleotides in length. Their secondary structure includes four short double-helical elements and three loops (D, anti-codon, and T loops). The record is from Rfam by way of RNAcentral. Lineage: Eukaryota; Metazoa; Chordata; Mammalia; Artiodactyla; Bovidae.